This 73-nucleotide transfer RNA is filed under the name Prolixibacteraceae bacterium. Its description in RNAcentral is "tRNA-Pro". The record is from RNAcentral. Lineage: Bacteria; Pseudomonadati; Bacteroidota; Bacteroidia; Marinilabiliales; Prolixibacteraceae.
CGGGGUGUAGCGCAGUUGGUAGCGUACGUCGUUCGGGACGACGGGGUCGCCUGUUCGAGUCAGGUCACCCCGA